UGGCAUCGUGGGAAGAACAGGAGCUGGAAAAAGUUCCCUCAUUGCUGCCCUUUUUCGAUUGUCAGAACCUGAAGGUGGCAUUUAUAUUGAUGGAAUCUUGACAACACAUAUUGGACUGCAUGAUUUAAGGAAGAAAUUGUCAGUUGCACUUCAGGUACAACUCAAAGAAUCCAUCGAAGGUCUUCCUGCUAAAAUGAAUACUGAAUUAGCAGAAUCUGGAUUGAACUUGAGUGCUGGUCAGAAACAACUGCUGUGCCUUGCCAGGGCUCUUCUCAGGAAGAAUCAGAUAUUGAUUCUUGACAAAGCCACAUCAUACGUGGAUCCAAGAACUGAUGAGUUAAUACAAAAAAGAAUUCGUGAGAGAUUUGCCCAGUGCACUGUGCUGACCAUUGCACACAGGUUGAGAAACAUUAUUGACUGUGAAUGGAUAAUGGUUUUGGAUUCAGGGACACGAAAAGAACAUAAUCAGCCAAAUAAUUUGCUGCAAGAUGAAAACAGCCUAUUUUACAAGAUAGUGCAAAAACUGGGUGAGGCGGAGGCUGCUGUCCUCAGUAAAAUGGCAAAAUAGGCAUACUUCAAAAGGAAAGAGCCAGAUAUCACUCACAGUGACCAUGUGGUUAUGAAUGUUUCCAGUGGACAGCCCUCAGCCUUCACAAUUUUUGAGUCAACACUGUGAUUCUCCCAUGAGUUUAUGUCUAUUCCAAAGGCUUUUUUCCAAUAGGUUUUGCACUGCAUAAACUAUAUUCUACUUUUUUUUUUACACCAGCAACAAAUAUUUACACAUUACAAAAUGUGAGUUCUCCAACCUUAAUGAUUUCAAUCUCUUGAAAAAGGAUUUAUGAUGUUUAUUUAAAUGUUAUAUUACUUGCUUUCUUAUCCAAAUCAGAGGUGCAGGCCACCAAUAAAAGCUGUCUCCCAGCUUUUGUGUCUUGAGAGACUCCAGAGCCAAACUCAUUUUCUAAGAUUUGAGACAAAGUUGUCACAGAUGUUUUUUACUGUUCCCAGAAUUACAUAUUACUUUCCAAUUAUAUCAGGGAUUCUGUUUAUUUGAAGACUGUGUGAAGUUACUGUUUUGUGUCCACUUCCUUUAACAUGACUAGGAUCCAUUUUUCCACCAAAAGACCUCUGGUUAAAAUACUAUAGAGAAAACUGAUAGGAUAAACAUACAAUAUACUAUAGUUUAAGUAACCAAAAAAAAAAAAAAAAAGGUAUAUGGUUAAAUACAGAAGGACAAUAUCAUAUGUUCUGAAAGAGAAGGAAGAGAAAAUAUGCUUUCUUAAAAUAGGAGCCCUUCUAGGGGAUUUGCUAAUGAAGGACAGACGUGUGCUAUACUGUCUUCUAGAUAGAGGAUUUUAUUUUAUUUUUUUUACAUUACAAAUUGUGGUAAAGUAUAUAUAACAUAAGGCUUCCCUGGUGGCACAGAGGUUAAAUAAAUUUUGCCAUAUAACCAUUUUCAGUCCCAUGAUCCAGUGGCAUUAAUCACAUUCACAGUAUUGUGAAGCCACACUGUCUGGGGAACUUUUGGUAAUUAUGUGCUUCCUCUUCAGUGUGUUAUUUCUGCAGAGUCAUUUUGAUAAGUUUCAUUUUUCUAGGAGGAAUCUGUUUCCUGUGAGUUUUGAGCUUGACUGGCAUAAAUUUAUUCACAAUGUCGUAUAUGUUUAAUCUCUGCAGCAUCUCUAACUGUGUUCUUUUGGCUUUUUAAUUUUAUUUUAGCCUUCUUUUUUAUGAAUUAUCUUGCAUAACUUUUUCAUGUUUUCAAAGAAUCACCUUUCUGCUUGAUUGAUGCGAACUUUGAAGUUUUUCCUCUAAAUUCUUAAAUGGAAAAGAGAUUAACAUCAUUAUUUUUCUAACAUAAAUAUAUAAAGCUGACUUUUUCCCCCUAAAAUCCACUUUAGCUACAAUCUGCAAGUUUUGGUACUCACCACCGUCAAUAGCCAUAGUAUUAUAUAUUUUUUAAUUCCUAAUUUAAUUCAUUAACUAUAUCUUUUACCCAUGAGUUAUUCAUAAGUAUAAUGUUCUCUAAAUUUCAAAUGCUAAUGGAUUUUUUUAUUAGAUUCAGCCAUGUGGAACUGCUAACAUUCAAUCUUUUUAUAAGCUAUAAAGUAACAACAUAUAGUUUUCUUUUGUUAGUAAUAUAUAACUUAAUUUCAUUUGGUCAGACAACAUUAGAUUGUGAAUUUUAAACCAAAGGUAACCACAUUCACACUAAAGGUCCUUGUUUCUACCAUUUUGUAUUUUAUUGGGGGUUUUUAAAAUGUUAUAAGUACGUGUGUAACCAGUAAUUUUCAAUAAAAGUCCUCCCCGAA
Molecule: RNA transcript, 2306 nt
Organism: Bubalus bubalis (water buffalo)
Lineage: Eukaryota; Metazoa; Chordata; Mammalia; Artiodactyla; Bovidae
Gene name: ATP-binding cassette sub-family C member 4
Exons: 5
Source: RefSeq, a predicted model, not a curated record